CAUUAAGCCGUCUGUGGUCGUGCAUGGGCACUAGAACCGGGCCAGGUGACCGCCGCUUCUCGCCAUGGACGGCAUGGAGUUCUUCUUCGAGGAUUCUGGAGCUGGGCUCGUGCCGCGCUUGGACGGCGGUGACGUCCUACGAGAUUUAGUUGCCGGCGUGGACCUGCCUGGUGGCGGCACCAGUUGGAGUGCUGACGCUGACGAGGUCUUGUCUUCUUCUCUGCCGAUGGGGCUAGUCGGAGGACUGAAGGAUUAUGAAGGGCGCGAGGAUACGGGUGAAACAAUGCUCACUCGGAGGGGGCGCGGCUCGUCUGAUCUUGGCGGCGAAGGUGUGGGCGACUCCUGCGAGAUAGGCGAUACAGAAGUUGCAUCUGGCGUCGAGGAUAACGAUACAGUCGAAGAGGGCGUCGCAGUGUCAAACGCAAAUCAGUCUUGUUGGACCAAGAGGGUUAGAGUUGGGAAAGUGGCUGAUGUGAGGGAGCCUAGCUCUUCGAGGAUGACUGCCCUUGAAGCUUCUGUCCGUGCAUUUGUCGAUAAAAAAUCUAGAAAUGUUGUCAAUCCGUCUAUUGGGACUAGCUUUGAUUCUGUCGAAGAGGGCUACGAGUUUUACAAUCUGUAUUCAUGGGAGGUCGGUUUUGGUGUCCGCUAUGCAAAAAGCCGUUUGAAUGUACACCAGAAAAAGUGCAUGCAAGAGAUAGUGUGUGCCUGUGCGGGUAAGCCAUUGCAGGCCAACAGUCGGUCAACGAGGUGUGGCUGCAAUGCCAUGAUAAGACUGCUGAGGUCGGAUGAUGGUGGAUGGUAUGUAUGUGAGCACAAGUCCGAGCACAACCAUGCUUUAUCUGUCAUUUGUGGAGAGAAAUUGCACUGGAAGUCGCACCGACACAUAGAUACCUAUACGAGGGACCUGGUUAAGCAGUUGAGAGAGAAUAAUAUCAGCAUUAGCAAGGUGUAUAGUGUUGUAGGGAGUUUUUUUGGCACGAUUAGGGACGUGCCAUUCACGAAACGGUCCUUAAAAACACUAUGUGAAAAACUGAACCAGGAACAGUCGCUAAAUGAUGCAACAAAAACCAUAGAUGUGUUCAACGACAUGCGGGCAGAGGACCCAGAAUUUAAAUACAGUGUCCAGGUGGACACCGAGGGCAGAAUUAAGACACUGAUGUGGGCAACUGGUAGAGGCAUUGAGCAGUUCAAGUGUUUCGGUGAUGUUGUGACAUUUGAUACGACCUAUAAGACAUUCCUGUACGACAUGCCAUUUGGCCUAUUUGUUGGUGUUAACAAUCAUUUCCAGAGUGUCAUUUUUGGAGGUGUACUGAUGAGUGAUGAGAAGGUGGAGACUUUCAAGUGGAUAUUCACAGAGUUCUUCCAAAUGCUAGCAGCGCCACAGCCUAAAACUAUCUUAACAGGUAACACAGCCUGCGUAAAAACAGAAAAAGAACUGCGCAUUGAUUUACAUCAAUAUGCUGCGAUCCGUCUUAUAGGUAUAAAAGUUUAAUGCUCUUGCUUGAUUUUCUAUAUUGUUGAUACAUACCAAGCUCGUUCGAUGGAAAUUGCAAUAGUUGACGUGAUGCCGUGGACUGUACAUCGUUGGUGCAAAUGGCAUGUACUGAAGAAAGCAAAGGAGAGCCUUGGAGCACUGCUUGCAAAGGGGAGUGAAUUCAAGCCAGAGCAGCAAACUAGUCCACCACGCAGUUAGUAUUGAUGAGUUCGAGAAUGGGUGGGCUUGCAUGUUGGAGAAAUAUGGGCUACAAAAAAAUGCAUUCCUGACCCAGCUGUAUGAGGUGAGGGGGAAGUGGGCAAAGCCAUAAUUUAUGGGUGUAUUCCGUGCGAAAAUGACAAGCACGCAAUGAAGCGAGAGUGCAAACCACCUUCUGAAAGGAUAUGUGCCACUGGGGUGCCCCAUGCACUUGUUCAUCAGGCAAUAUGAGAAGAUGCAAUUUGACCGCGAUUCCGAAGAAAGUUACCAAGAGAAAAGGACAAAACUGGGUGGGGUUGUCCUGAAGCAAAAUAUCCCAAUUGAGGUACAUGCGUCGGAGGUGUACAUCAGGACAAUGUUUGAGAAAUUUGGUGAAGUGUUGUAUGGAUGUGGAUCUUAUGACCUAAUAGAAGUCAAGCCACGCUUGGAGUACAUUGCUAGGCACAUCAAAUUUCAGUCAAAGGAAAAAUGGUGCAAGAACGAGUUUGUGAUCACUGUGAGCGAGGCAGCCGACGAGUUCAAGUGUGAGUGUGGGACGUCUGAGCACUAUGGAAUGGUGUGCAGCCAUGCACUUAAGGUGAUGAUACACCUAAAACUGCGUGAGCUCCCUGUGAAGCAUGUGCUGAAGCGAUGGACAAAAGACGCGACAGAUAUACUGCCGCCAGAGUAUUUGCGCUACCAAAAGGAUCAUGGGCCGCUCAAGUAUUCCUCUCGCCGACACAACACUUUAUACCUCUUGGCGCUGGAUGUUGUUAAGUUAGGUGACAGCAAUGUGGAAGCAUAUGCUCUUGCUGAGGAAAAACUGCGACAUGUCAAAGUGCAGCUGGAGCCAGUUGCUGCUGUGAGGGAUGGACUUGGGUUGUUUGAUAAGGAGCUGGCCGCAGAUUCAGCGGGUUCCGGCGUUGGUAACAAGCAGCACUUUGGUCGACCUGAGUCUGAGCACACCAUUUCACAGGGAUCGGAUGUGUUCCCAGCUGCAUCAAAGAAGCGGCCGGCUGGGCGCCCUACAACCAGCCGUGACAAGGCUCCAUAUGAACAACCAUCAAAGAGGACUAGGUUUUGUUCAAUAUGCAGACUUCAGGGGCACAAGAGCACGACAUGCCCUGCAAGGGGUGAUGUGCCAAAGGCGCCCCGGAAAUCUCCUCGCUGCUCAAAAUGUGGUUUGACCGGGCAUAGGAAGAACACAUGCAGCAACCCCCCGAAAGUAUGAAAAUUCAGAAAUUUUAGUGUUUUUUUCGUUGUUAUCCUGAUGGUAUGCAUUUGUCUAUGUGACCCCUCUGCUGUUAGAAGCCAUACCUAAUUUGAACAUCUAGAAAAGCGAGGGUCGUGCACUGUGUCUGGCACUAUCUGUUUGCUUAUGAUGUCGACUCAUCUCAGGCUGUUGACACAUUUGUUUAAUUUCCUGUCUUAAGUCAAUUAGAAAAAAAUCGUGUGUUGUGGGCAAGCUAUUAAGAUUCUCAUUAAUAUUUCAUAUCUUUCAAUGUUGAC
Molecule: ribosomal RNA, 3181 nt
Filed under: Triticum aestivum (bread wheat)
Lineage: Eukaryota; Viridiplantae; Streptophyta; Magnoliopsida; Poales; Poaceae
Description: partial small subunit ribosomal RNA
Source: RNAcentral